ACAAUAUACAAGGUGCUGCAUGGUUGUCGUCAGCUCGUGUCGUGAGAUGUUGGGUUAAGUCCCGUAACGAGCGCAACCCUUGUCCUUAGUUACCAGCACGUUAUGGUGGGCACUCUAAGGAGACUGCCGGUGACAAACCGGAGGAAGUGGGGAUGACGUCAAGUCAUCAUGGCCCUUACGGCCUGGGCUACACACGUGCUACAAUGGUCGGUACAAAGGGUUGCCAAGCCGCGAGGUGGAGCUAAUCCCAUAAAACCGAUCGUAGUCCGGAUCGCAGUCUGCAACUCGACUGCGUGAAGUCGGAAUCGCUAGUAAUCGUGAAUCAGAAUGUCACGGUGAAUACGUUCCCGGGCCUU
RNAcentral lists this ribosomal RNA (356 nucleotides) under uncultured Pseudomonas sp. Its description in RNAcentral is "bacterial SSU rRNA". It matches the Rfam family "Bacterial small subunit ribosomal RNA", at positions 1026 to 1382 of the family's 1533-position model. Lineage: Bacteria; Pseudomonadati; Pseudomonadota; Gammaproteobacteria; Pseudomonadales; Pseudomonadaceae. The record is from RNAcentral.